UGCACCAAAAUCCAAAAUAUUAAUUUAAAUAUUAUCAUGAAUUUAGGGGCAAGUCAUGAAUUACUUCUAACUAUUUAUUUUGAAAACAAAAAAAGUUAUUAAAUAUAUCUAUUACAAUUAUUGUUUUUAUAUCACAAAAUCCUCAUACGAAACAAACAUCAAGCUCAUCCUACUAAUAUUAGGAUAUUGAAGAAAACGAAGAUUUUUUUUGUAAAACUUAUUUUGCCUUAAUUUUCUGGACAAUCUCAAUGGUUAUCAUAUUUUAAAUUUAAUUAGUUCUCUUUUCUAUACUUACGCCAAAAAAACAUAGUCAACAAAGUUGUUGUAGUAUAGUGGUAAGUAUUCCUGCCUGUCACCGGGUUCGAUCUCCGGCAACGGCGUAAACCUUUUUAUUACGUCAAAACUUUAUCUUAUGUAGUUUAUGUGACAUAAUACACGUCAUCAUAUUAUAUCCUUUGUCGUCUGUAAGAAUGCAUACGAUUUUCCCUCUUGCAUUUUUUUCUGUUUUGUACUUUUUUUCUCUGAAACACAACAAUGGCGUCGACGAAGCCCGGUCCCGCAAUCAACCUUGAAGAAGAUGCGGAAGGCGACAGUGUAGCCGUAGACGAUUCGAUUUUCAUACCGGAGGCUACGAGCUUGCUCGUUUGUUACUCUCCGUUCGACGACAGCGACAUCGAUUGCAAUCCUUAUUUCCCUUUCUCAGGACUAAUUUCAGAUUCUGGAUCAGGUUCUUACUCGGAUUCAGAACCCGAUCCGUACAUAUGUCCCAUCGAUUUCUUCGAUCGAGAGUCUUCCGAGGUUGAGGCGUCUGAGUACUUGGAAUCGGAAGGGCUGACCUCCGGUGAUUUCAAUAUUUGGGGAUUUUAUGAUCCUAAGGAAGACGAAGAUGAGAUAGUUUUGGGAACUAGAUGUUUAUUUGGAUCCGGUUCAGGAUCCGUGUCGGAUCAGCAACCGGGUGAGCAAGGGCUUCGAGUGACCGGUAUCGAUUCGGAUUCCGAUUAUGACGAUGACGUGUUUGGUUACACCUCAGAGGAUAGUGGGAAUAGAGCAAAUGAUUCGGGUCGGGUCGAGGUUGGUACGGGUCUCCCUCCUGUGUGGGAUGAUGUCUUCGGAGAGGAAACCGUCUUGGCUGAUGAAGAAUGGGAGGAAGUGCAGAACGCCAUUAACUGGACGGUUAGGGCGUUUGGUAGACCUGAAGAAGAAGAAGAAGAAGAAGAAGAAGAAGGGGAAGAUGAAUUGUCUUCAGUAUCAAGGGAUGAUGAUGAUGAAGAGCAGGAACUUGACUGGCAGGUUUUGUUAACUGUUAACAAUGUUGUUAAUUAUAUCGAACAAGCUGAAGGAAUCUUGAUAAACCCUGAUGAUAUCGAUCCGAGUUAUUACCUGUAUCUAGCUAGUUUGGAUGAAUAUGAUGAAAACCAUAGUGGGCAUUAUGAUGCUGAUGCUAUUCUUGGGCAAAUGUUUGAUAACGAGGCUGGAAUCUGGGGAAAUCCUCCAGCAGCCAAAAGUGUAAUUGAGGAUCUUCCAGUUGUGGAACUUACAGUGGAAGAAUUAAACAAAGGGAACAAUGUUUGUGCGGUGUGUAAAGAUGAAAUUGUAGUGGAGGAGAAAGUGAGGAGGCUUCCUUGUAGUCAUUUCUAUCAUGGAGACUGUAUUAUGCCUUGGUUGGGGAUAAGGAAUACUUGCCCGGUUUGUCGGUAUGAGCUGCCUACUGAUGAUCUUGAGUAUGAAAGGCAUAAGAGCUCACAAAGGAGCGAUGCCGGUUUGGCAAGGAACUUACCCGGUAGACAUAGUUAAUUGAAUUUGAAGUAUUUGUUGUUCAUGUUAAUUAGCCAGGCAAGAUCCUUAAACCACUUUCUUUUAUGCAGGACUCCAGCGUUUCUCACAGAUUCGAUGGAGUUUGUAAAAGUAAUAAAAGUCUUAUGUACGCCCUGUCGCACUGGUAUGUUAAUGCUGUGCUAUAUGUUUGAUUUGAUUGUUAGUUUUUUUUUUUUGUUUUUCCCCUAUAUAAUUUUAGAUAACAAAUCGGCUGUAAUCUGUAUAUGACUGUACUGUAUAUAGUCUCUUGUCAACCCGACAAAAUGUUGAAACAGGUUCAUCUUUUUGUUUUAAACAAGUCGGAGAC
Camelina sativa (false flax) is the source of this 2122-nucleotide non-coding RNA. The record is from RefSeq and is a predicted model, not a curated record. Lineage: Eukaryota; Viridiplantae; Streptophyta; Magnoliopsida; Brassicales; Brassicaceae.